UUCAACUAAAAUCCACAAGGCUCGCACAAUCGCAUUUCAACCGUCGCCAUAUUGAAAGCGACUUGUUUAGUGUCGAAAUUUGAUUUAGAAUCAGGGCCUUGAUUUGAGUUGAUUUUAGCAGUUAAUAGUGUGUGGUAGGAAUUUUUGUGUUGUACGUUUCCUAUUCCGAAUGUCUCAAAAAAAAUCUCGCGAGAGCGAAUGUAUGUUUAUUUCCAAACAUAACCUUAUAAACAAACAGUUGUUUAUUUAGAGUUAUUUAUUAUUGUUUUCUCAUAUUUUGCAAUUGUUAAGUUGGUUUACUUCGAAUUUAAUAUGCAUUACUGUGGUAUUUCUCCAGUUUUCUAAGAAGGUUGGUGAUUUUGAAUUGGGAUUAUGAUGAAUUUAACCCAAAGGCAAUGUGUGUUUAUUUAUGUGGCAAAAUUCCAGGCACCAUAAAAAUUUGAGUUUCUUCCUGUUGCCCAUGGAUGAAAAUCGGGACAUCUCCUCUGAAGGAAUUACAAUUAUUUGCCAGUAUGUCAAAUGAAUUUUCAACAUCAGUCAUACUUUCAUGAAUUUAUUGAUGAAAAUAAAACUAGGUACAUGAUUUAUUAUUUACUUCCAAGGGAUUCUAAGAUACUAUGUGUAAAAAGUCCAAUAUGGAGUGAUGAGCAUGCUAAUAACUGGCAAAAUAUGGGAUAUAAUGCCAAAGAUGGGAAACAUGGGAUGCAUUCUGAAGUAAAAAGAGAUGAAACUGAGAGAAAUUAUUGAUAUAAACAUAUAAAUUAACAUUACAUUACAUAGUUUCCCACCUUUAGGCGUAUCAGAUGAGUAUGAGAACUGUCACUGUGACAGGAGAAUUUUAUAAAAUACUCCUGUCACAGAGAUCUAAAGGUGGGAAACUAUGUAAUGUUAUCGUCGGCUAAGAGUGUUAACCUGCUAACUCAAUUUUUCACUGUGAGUGAUAUUGGGGUAGUUUCUAGGUCUGUGUACCUUUGUACCAUGUUCCACAAGCAAGCUGGUUCCACUGUAGUUUAGAGAUAGCUAUUUCUAAACUACAUUGGUGUCAGCGGGUUUGUGGGGUGGUGUAUGAAAAUACACAGACCCAGAAACUAGCCCAAUAUCACUCAAAGUGAAAAAUGGAGUUAGCAGGUUAAAACUCUUAUCCAAGGUUAUGUUAAUUUAUUCGUUUAUAACGAUAAGUUCCACUUCUACCAGUUUCAUCUCUUUUUAUCUCACAAGUUAAUAUGAUUUCCAUCUUUUGCGUUAUUUUGCCGGUUAUUAGUGUGAGUGCUCAUUACUGUAUAUUUACGAUUCUGUGAUUUCUCAAUAUGAUGCUGAGUAGGUAUAGAUGAGCAUCUACAACCCUUUCAAAACAGAAAUUUAUAAGUUCAUUUCAGGUACCUAUUAAAUUUUAUUUUAAGGAUGAAUUUGAAAUGCCUGUAGGGAAUAUAUGUGUAAAAAAUAAAAUUGGUAUUGUAAAAUUGAAAUUCUCAAAAUAUAAUUUAUAAUUCAAAUGUAUUAUUAUUUUUUUCCUCUAUAGAAAAGUCCUCUUAUUAGUUUUCUCAUUAGCUCUUUUGACAAGACAUCAGUACUUCGUUUUUUAGAUUUCUCACAAGGAUUCAGAUCCGGAAGAUCCUGCGUAGACGCCAGUACUUACUUAAUUACUUAUUCCUCUUCACUCCAUGCGGAGCAUAGGGCGUCAACUAUCUGUCUCCAUUCUGUCUUAUCCUUUGCACUGAUCUUUAUUUCUGUCCAGGUUUUCCCAAUAGGGCUUUUCAUUCACAGUCAUUUGUUUCGAGCUUCUGUCAUAUGUCGUAUAAUCCGUGUAUAUUCAUAGAUAUAACAGAAUAGAUUAGGCCAGUUCGAAAAAUAGCGUAACGCUGAACAGUUCGAGUCAGUGGUCUAUCUUUCUCUCUCUAGCAUAUGAUGGCUGCCGCCUCUGUGUAACUGUCGUUCCAUUACUCCCACCUCUUGGUAGAUACACUCGCACGACAGACAAAGAUAGCUAGACCACCGUACUUGAUAUCAGCGUUACACCCCGAUGCAUUGAGUGGCAUAUGACUAGCCUGAUCUAUUGUUGACAUAUCUCUGUGUAUAUUAGUAUUAUACACAGAUUAUACGACAUAUGACAGCAGCUUGAAGCAAAUGACAAUCAAUGAAAAGCCCUAUAGCAUUAAUUUCUUUUUCAACACUUCUUUUCCACAUUUCUACGGGUCUACCUGGUCUUCUCUUUCCAUGUGGUAUAUAUUCUAGGGCUUGCCUCACUAUGGCUGUGUCAGGUCUCCUUAGUGUGUGCUCCAUCCAACUCCAUUUCCUUUUGCAUAUUAUCUUAGAUAUACAUAGGUUUCUGGUUAGUUCUUGUCCAUAGCUCUUGGUUUGAUAUAUGGUUUGGCCAGUAAAUGUUAAGAAUCUUCCUUAGGCAUUAAUUUAUGAAUACCUGCAUCUGUCCAAUACAUUUUCUUGACACUUUCCAAGUUUCUGCUCCAUAUAGUAAUACAGUCUUCACGUUGCUGUUGAAUAGUCUUUCGGUUUUAAUUGUCAUCUGAUGUGAAGGCCACAUUUUCCUUAGCAUAUUGAAUGCGUUUGUAGCGUAGACGCUGUUGUAUUAAUGAAACUUAAAAGCAUAUUGGAGAUUUAUAGAUGCAUUUAUUAUACAAUUCUUGUAGAUACAACCAUAGAGGUAUAUAUUGACAUAGAGAGAGUGUCAUUCGGAGCGAAGUGACGACACCAUCUUUUUUCUUUGGAUUAGUGCUACUUCACUCUUACACAUAGUAAAGCUGCGACAGUAUGAUAAACGUCAUUUUUAAGUUAGGAGAAGUACGAAGUUAGCUGAUGUCUUUCCUGUUAUUUUUAUUUAGUCACUGUUUACAUUGGACAUUGACAUUUAUUUGUAAUUUGUAGAUGUUUUUAGAGGAAUAUUCUGUUUGGUUUUGUUUUUUAUUUUUAAUUGUGCAGCGAAAUUGUGAUAGUAAAUUAAAUAUAAAGUUGUUUAUAGCCUACAGAACUGAAUUAUCCCAUAGUAAUUAUCAGUUUGUGUCAAUUUGUUUGUGUGUAAAAAAGAAAAAACACCUUUCCUUGUGUUUGACCGACUUGUAGCAAGGGCUUUCUUGAGAAGCCUGUAAAUUGCGGGAAUAGGACAGACAGGGAUAAAAUCCUCACUUUUUACUGUUCCCAAGGCUAUACAUUUCCCCCAUGCAAUACAUUUAAAUGAAUUUUAUCCAAACAAAGGCAGGAACAUUGGAUAAAAGCAAUAAAGAGAACAGACCACAAAUUAAAAUAUGAGAGUAUGUAGUAAACAUUUUAUAAGUGGAAUAAACACCAGCUAUUUUAAAUGUAGGAAAAGGAGAAACUGCUAGAAUCUAAUUUUACACAAAUGUUUUUGACUAUUGAAGAUUUGGAUAAACAACAGAAGUUACUUUGGGCUAUAGCUAUGUGCAGAUUUAUUUCCUUGUGGAUUACUAUGUUUAUUCUUUUUAACUAUACUUCCUAUAUUGUUUGUGAGAUUAAUAUUAUUUAAUUGAUUAUAUUAAUAUUUUGUAAUAAUAAUCAAUGCUUUGGUUUAACAAAUAGACAACUUAGAAUAGAAAAA
Diabrotica virgifera virgifera (western corn rootworm) is the source of this 3568-nucleotide long non-coding RNA. RefSeq lists it as uncharacterized. The transcript is spliced from 3 exons. NCBI's taxonomy places the organism in Eukaryota, Metazoa, Arthropoda, Insecta, Coleoptera, Chrysomelidae. The record is from RefSeq and is a predicted model, not a curated record.